RNAcentral lists this ribosomal RNA (492 nucleotides) under uncultured bacterium. Its description in RNAcentral is "partial 16S ribosomal RNA". It matches the Rfam family "Bacterial small subunit ribosomal RNA", at positions 29 to 507 of the family's 1533-position model. The record is from RNAcentral.
AGUGAACGCUGGCGGUAGGCCUAACACAUGCAAGUCGAACGGCAGCACAGUAAGAGCUUGCUCUUACGGGUGGCGAGUGGCGGACGGGUGAGGAAUACAUCGGAAUCUACUUUUUCGUGGGGGAUAACGUAGGGAAACUUACGCUAAUACCGCAUACGACCUACGGGUGAAAGCAGGGGAUCUUCGGACCUUGCGCGAUUGAAUGAGCCGAUGUCGGAUUAGCUAGUUGGCGGGGUAAAGGCCCACCAAGGCGACGAUCCGUAGCUGGUCUGAGAGGAUGAUCAGCCACAUGGGAACUGAGACACGGUCAAGACUCCUACGGGAGGCAGCAGUGGGGAAUAUUGGACAAAGGGCGCGAGCCUGAUCCAGCCAUACCGCGUGGGUGAAGAAGGCGUUCGGGUUGUAAAGCCCUUUUGUUGGGAAAGAAAAGCAGCAGGUUAAUACCCCGCUGUUCUGACGGUACCCAAAGAAUAAGCACCGGCUAACUUCGUG